Molecule: ribosomal RNA, 433 nt
Filed under: uncultured bacterium
Lineage: Bacteria
Description: partial 16S ribosomal RNA
Rfam family: Bacterial small subunit ribosomal RNA
Source: RNAcentral
AACGAACGCUGGCGGCAUGCCUAACACAUGCAAGUCGAACGAGACCUUCGGGUCUAGUGGCGCACGGGUGCGUAACGCGUGGGAACCUGCCCUUAGGUUCGGAAUAACUCCCCGAAAGGGGUGCUAAUACCGGAUAAUGUCUUCGGACCAAAGAUUUAUCGCCUUUGGAUGGGCCCGCGUUGGAUUAGCUAGUUGGUAGGGUAAAAGCCUACCAAGGCGACGAUCCAUAGCUGGUCUGAGAGGAUGAUCAGCCACACUGGGACUGAGACACGGCCCAGACUCCUACGGGAGGCAGGAGUGGGGGAUAUUGGACAAUGGGCGAAAGCCUGAUCCAGCAAUGCCGCGUGAGUGAUGAAGGCCUUAGGGUUGUAAAGCUCUUUUACCCGGGAUGAUAAUGACAGUACCGGGAGAAUAAGCUCCGGCUAACUCCGUG